AGUGAACGCUGGCGGCAGGCCUAACACAUGCAAGUCGAGCGGCAGAAGGGUGCUUGCUCGCGCUUACAGCGGGGGAGGGGCGGGCAGGGCCUAGGUAUCUCCGUGGCUGCGGUUUCUAACGUCCGGAAGUGGGCGCUAAUACCGCAUACGCCCUGAGGGAGAACGUGGGGAAUCAUCGGAUCUCACGCUAUUACAUGAGCCUAGGUCGGAUUAGCUAGUUGGUGGGGUAAAGGCCUACCAAGGCGACGAUCCGUAGCUGGUCUGAGAGGAUGAUCAGUCACACUGGAACUGAGACACGGUCCAGACUCCUACGGGAGGCAGCAGUGGGGAAUAUUGGACAAUGGGCGAAAGCCUGAUCCAGCCAUGCCGCGUGUGUGAAGAAGGUCUUCGGGUUGUAAAGCACUUUUGGUGGGGAGGAAGAGCAGUAGGUUAAUACCCUGCUGUUUUGACGGUACCAACAGAAUAAGCACCGGCUAACUUCGUG
Molecule: ribosomal RNA, 484 nt
Filed under: uncultured bacterium
Lineage: Bacteria
Description: partial 16S ribosomal RNA
Rfam family: Bacterial small subunit ribosomal RNA
Source: RNAcentral